AUGGCCAUAUCACAUUGUAACACCGGUUCUUGUAUGAUCACAGAAGUUAAGCAACAUCGAGCUAGCUCAGUACCUAGAUGAGUGACCGCUUGGAAAUAUCAAGU
Acanthosepion pharaonis is the source of this 104-nucleotide non-coding RNA. NCBI's taxonomy places the organism in Eukaryota, Metazoa, Mollusca, Cephalopoda, Sepiida, Sepiidae. The record is from the annotation of a GenBank genome assembly.